CAGGCUUAACACAUGCAAGUCGAGGGGCAGCAUGGUCUUAGCUUGCUAAGGCCGAUGGCGACCGGCGCACGGGUGAGUAACGCGUAUCCAACCUGCCUUACACUCUUGGACAGCCUUCUGAAAGGGAGAUUAAUACAAGAUGUUAUCAUGAGUAAGCAUUUUCGCAUGAUUAAAGGUUUACCGGUGUAAGAUGGGGAUGCGUUCCAUUAGAUAGUAGGCGGGGUAACGGCCCACCUAGUCUUCGAUGGAUAGGGGUUCUGAGAGGAAGGUCCCCCACAUUGGAACUGAGACACGGUCUAAACUCCUACGGGAGGCAGCAGUGAGGAAUAUUGGUCAAUGGACGAGAGUCUGAACCAGCCAAGUAGCGUGAAGGAUGAAGGUUCUAUGGAUUGUAAACUUCUUUUAUACGGGAAUAAACGGAUCCACGUGUGGAUUUUUGCAUGUACCGUAUGAAUAAGGAUCGGCUAACUCCGUGCCAGCAGCCGCGGUAAUACGGAGGAUCCGAGCGUUAUCCGGAUUUAUUGGGUUUAAAGGGAGCGUAGAUGGGUUGUUAAGUCAGUUGUGAAAGUUUGCGGCUCAACCGUAAAAUUGCAAUUGAUACUGGCAGUCUUGAGUACAGUUGAGGUAGGCGGAAUUCGUGGUGUAGCGGUGAAAUGCUUAGAUAUCACGAAGAACUCCGAUUGCGAAGGCAGCUUACUAACCUGUAACUGACAUUGAUGCUCGAAAGUGUGGGUAUCAAACAGGAUUAGAUACCCUGGUAGUCCACACGGUAAACGAUGAAUACUCGCUGUAGGCGAUAUACAGUCUGCGGCCAAGCGAAAGCAUUAAGUAUUCCACCUGGGGAGUACGCCGGCAACGGUGAAACUCAAAGGAAUUGACGGGGGCCCGCACAAGCGGAGGAACAUGUGGUUUAAUUCGAUGAUACGCGAGGAACCUUACCCGGGCUUAAAUUGCAACCGAAUAUGGCGGAAACGCUAUAGCUAGCAAUAGCGGUUGUGAAGGUGCUGCAUGGUUGUCGUCAGCUCGUGCCGUGAGGUGUCGGCUUAAGUGCCAUAACGAGCGCAACCCUUGCCGAUAGUUACUAACAGGUCAUGCUGAGGACUCUGUCGGGACUGCCAUCGUAAGAUGUGAGGAAGGUGGGGAUGACGUCAAAUCAGCACGGCCCUUACGUCCGGGGCUACACACGUGUUACAAUGGGGGGUACAGAGGGCUGCUACCACGCAAGUGGAUGCCAAUCCCAAAAACCUCUCUCAGUUCGGAUUGAAGUCUGCAACCCGACUUCAUGAAGCUGGAUUCGCUAGUAAUCGCGCAUCAGCCACGGCGCGGUGAAUACGUUCCCGGGCCUUGUACACACCGCCCGUCAAGCCAUGGGAGCCGGGGGUACCUGAAGUGCGUAACCGCAAGGAGCGCCCUAGGGUAAAACUGGUGACU
This 1431-nucleotide ribosomal RNA is filed under the name uncultured organism. RNAcentral describes it as "16S ribosomal RNA". It matches the Rfam family "Bacterial small subunit ribosomal RNA". The record is from RNAcentral.